CAUAAGAUCUGAUCUUAAAACUCUUAUAAAUAGAUUUAUAACAUAAAUUUAUAUGCAUAAAAAUCUUAAUCUAAUAUUACAAGCAUUUGAACAAGAACAGCAAUUAGUGAUAGAUCUAAUCUACUACUUCUAGGGUUCCAAACCUAAUAUCUGAGCAUGGAUAGUUGAUUUUCACAAUUGAGAAUGUAGAUCUGGAAGUCCUCUCUGGUCGCUCAUAGUCACACAAGCAUCCGACCUCUACAGAUGGUCCACAUGAAGUUCUCGGACCGAUCAGUCCUCCACGGGAGUGCUAACUCAUGC
Molecule: long non-coding RNA, 300 nt
Filed under: Elaeis guineensis (African oil palm)
Lineage: Eukaryota; Viridiplantae; Streptophyta; Magnoliopsida; Arecales; Arecaceae
Description: long non-coding RNA (EGUI_LNC033820)
Source: RNAcentral